RNAcentral lists this long non-coding RNA (1212 nucleotides) under Betta splendens (Siamese fighting fish). Its description in RNAcentral is "lncRNA (ENSBSLG00000003909.1)". The record is from RNAcentral. Lineage: Eukaryota; Metazoa; Chordata; Actinopteri; Anabantiformes; Osphronemidae.
CGCGUCGCCACGGUGCAGCGAGUGCAUCGCUGACUAAAGAUUUUUAAUCCUGCAGCCGGCUGGAAAAAAUCAGGACGCUAGUCUCGUUUUAACCACCAGGUGGCGCAGCGUUGAUUAGAAGCCUCCAAAGCACUACAGCGUAACUGAGGUCCGACUGUUCAUUUCUACCUGUAACACACAUAUAUUACACCAGACCUAUUUUACUAUUAAGUAUCUGUUGUGUGCUCAAACAUGGGGAGUGUGAAGGGCAACAACUUGUUGAUGGCUUAGCUGUUUUCUGUUCACUGCGAAGUUAUAAUUGUUCUGUGUGGUUUAAAACAGGCAGCGCCACAGCAGCAACACAUUCUUGUUUUCAUUCUCCUCAGCUUUUUCGUGUCUUUAAAUAGAAGGCGUCUCUUAAAAAUAUGUACACACCCACCGCUCUAACAUCUGAUACAACAUAUUGGCUUCACAUAAUACCAUGAUUAUGCGUCGCGGUUUAAUUAAUAUAAUUGAAUGCGCAAGUAAAGACGUAGAGCGCAGUCCAUCUGCGACUACAGCCGCUUAUUUAGGUGAAGUCAAUAUGUUGUAUCAGAUGUUAGAGCGGUGGGUGUGUACAUAUUUUUAAGAGACGCCUGCUAUUUAAAGACACGAAAAAGCUGAGGAGAAUGAAAACAAGAACGUGUUGCUGCUGUGGCGCUGCCUGUUUUAAACCACACAGAACAAUUAUAACUUUGCAGUGAACAGAAAAUAACUAAGCCAUGAACAAGUUGUUGCCCUUCACACUCCCCAUGUUUUAGCACACAACAGAUACUUAAUAGUAAAAUAGGUCUGGUGUAAUAUAUGUGUGUUACAGGUAGAAAUGAACAGUCGGACCUCAGAUACGCUGUAGUGCUUUGGAGGCUUCUAAUCAACGCUGCGCCACCUGGUGGUUAAAACGAGACUAGCGUCCUGAUUUUUUUCAGCCGGCUGCAGGAUUAAAAAUCUUUAGUCAGCGACGCACACGCUGCACCGUGGCGACGCGUCGGUACUGCAGUAAAAACCCUAGUCACUUUGAACCGCUGCCACUGUAAUUACAAGGUACUUGUAAUUGUCCUCAAUGUCUGCUAUUGUUCCUUCUGGGAGUGAGACCCCUUCUGUGUGGAUUACCUUGCCUCUCUUUGUCACCAUCCUCCCACAUCAUCCCCAAUGUCCGAGCUGUAGAUCCUGGUGGUGUGGAUCUGGUGAGUUGAU